AUACUUACCCAAUAGGGGAGAUACCACGAUCACGAAGGUGGUUUCCCCAGGGUGAGGCUUAUCCAUUGCACUCUGGAUGUGCUGAUCCCUGUGAUUUCCCCAAAUGUGGGAAAUUCAACAGCACAAUUUGUGGUAGUGGGGGACUACAUUCGUGGUAUCCCCUG
Molecule: small nuclear RNA, 164 nt
Organism: Nycticebus coucang (slow loris)
Lineage: Eukaryota; Metazoa; Chordata; Mammalia; Primates; Lorisidae
Product: U1 spliceosomal RNA
Exons: 1
Source: RefSeq, a predicted model, not a curated record